ACUGAAUCUAUGGAGCUUCCUGUAUGACC
Molecule: non-coding RNA, 29 nt
Filed under: Rattus norvegicus (Norway rat)
Lineage: Eukaryota; Metazoa; Chordata; Mammalia; Rodentia; Muridae
Source: RNAcentral